CAAUAUUUACUUUGGUGACUCGCGUGAAAUCUUCCCAGUUCAAAACUACAAAGAACAAAUGGUUCUCACCUCGCUCUUUAUCCACCUGAGUGAUAAUAAAGACGAUACCAGUAAUACAACAUGAUUAGCUCAUUCAACUGAAUGCUUUUCCAUCCAGGUCCGUCACCAGACAUUGGUGCCUGGGGGUAAUUCAGAAUAUUCUGGGUGGGCACUAAUUCUUAAUAAUGUUAAAGGGGAGAUUCUAAAUAAUAAGUCUAUCACUAUAGAUCUGAGGGUGUAACAUUGAUUUGUAAAGGAGCAGUUCCGUCUACUGUACCUACCCUUCAUUAGCGAUGCGCAUGUUUUCAUCUGACAAUAAUGCCUUUAAGUUCAAACAAAAUAGGUUGUUUAACGAUGGCGAGAAAAGGCGAAGCGCUGGAAACAGGUUUAAAGAACAGAUUGAGGCCGAAUGGUCAGUUUCUUGUAGUUUCAGAGUGCAGACACCGCUAGAAAUUGUUACUUAAAUUUUAUUAAAUCACGCCAUACUGUCUUAUAGAAAACGCAUCAGUUAGUAUACACAACAGCUU
Octopus sinensis (East Asian common octopus) is the source of this 566-nucleotide long non-coding RNA. RefSeq lists it as uncharacterized. The record is from RefSeq and is a predicted model, not a curated record. The transcript is spliced from 2 exons. Lineage: Eukaryota; Metazoa; Mollusca; Cephalopoda; Octopoda; Octopodidae.